This 423-nucleotide long non-coding RNA is filed under the name Apteryx rowi (Okarito brown kiwi). RNAcentral's name for it is "lncRNA (ENSARWG00000013917.1)". Lineage: Eukaryota; Metazoa; Chordata; Aves; Apterygiformes; Apterygidae. The record is from RNAcentral.
UUCUUUAUCAAUACAUCAACAGGGGCCUGAAGACUUUCUCUCUGUUUUUUCUCCUUUCAGAGUCCUGACAAACGCUGCUGAGUUUACUGUGCACAGCAAGACAUCUUGGGGUGAGAGCCUGUGUGCUCAGAUGGGGACAGUAUCUUAAGAAACCCUCCAUACAGCAAGCAGUACUGGACUGUCAGUAGGUGAUGUGCCAGCAUGAGACUAAGUAAGGCACAACACACACGAAUGAAGCCCUUUAGGGAAGAAGAAGCCAUGAUAUCUAAAUGGAAAUUUAAGGUGCCUCAGUUUUGGAAGUGGAAAGAGUGGCUUCUGGUGGUGAGGAGGAGACUUUUUCAAGAUAAUCUGCUUUCUGCUCCAGGGAGCUUCAUAUUUUCCUCUUGAACUGAUGGGUACCUUUGAACAACAGGAACUGAGAAC